Molecule: ribosomal RNA, 493 nt
Filed under: Paenibacillaceae bacterium CL2.48
Lineage: Bacteria; Bacillati; Bacillota; Bacilli; Caryophanales; Paenibacillaceae
Description: bacterial SSU rRNA
Rfam family: Bacterial small subunit ribosomal RNA
Source: RNAcentral
CCCUGGCUCAGGACGAACGCUGGCGGCGUGCCUAAUACAUGCAAGUCGAGCGGAUCUUGUCCUUCGGGACAAGAUUAGCGGCGGACGGGUGAGUAACACGUGGGUAACCUGCCUGUAAGACUGGGAUAACAUUCGGAAACGAAUGCUAAUACCGGAUACGCGAUUUGGUCGCAUGACUGAAUCGGGAAAGAUGGAGCAAUCUAUCACUUACAGAUGGACCCGCGGCGCAUUAGCUAGUUGGUGAGGUAACGGCUCACCAAGGCGACGAUGCGUAGCCGACCUGAGAGGGUGAUCGGCCACACUGGGACUGAGACACGGCCCAGACUCCUACGGGAGGCAGCAGUAGGGAAUCUUCCGCAAUGGACGAAAGUCUGACGGAGCAACGCCGCGUGAGUGAUGAAGGUUUUCGGAUCGUAAAGCUCUGUUGCCAGGGAAGAAUGCUUGGGAGAGUAACUGCUCCCAAGGUGACGGUACCUGAGAAGAAAGCCCCGGC